UACAGAGGGGGCAAGCGUUAUUCGGAAUUAUUGGGCGUAAAGCGCGUGUAGGCGGCUUGGUAGGUCAGCUGUGAAAACUCGAGGCUCAACCUCGAGAUGUCGGUUGAAACCACCUUGCUGGAGUCCGGAAGAGGAGAGUGGAAUUCCUGGUGUAGCGGUGAAAUGCGCAGAUAUCAGGAAGAACACCAAUGGCGAAGGCAGCUCUCUGGGACGGUACUGACGCUGAGACGCGAAAGCGUGGGGAGCGAACAGG
This 253-nucleotide ribosomal RNA is filed under the name uncultured bacterium. RNAcentral describes it as "partial 16S ribosomal RNA". It matches the Rfam family "Bacterial small subunit ribosomal RNA", at positions 524 to 776 of the family's 1533-position model. The record is from RNAcentral.